CGGACGCGUUGAGGGCUGCGUUAGCCGAGUUCAUCUCGACGCUCAUCUUCGUUUUCGCCGGCGAGGGCUCCGGAAUGGCAUUCGCCAAGCUAACCGAUGACGCCGCAACUACUCCCUCAGGCCUCGUCGCCGCCGCGCUCGCCCACGCCUUCGGCCUUUUCGUCGCCGUCACCAUCAGCGCCAACAUCUCCGGCGGACACGUCAACCCCGCCGUCACCUUCGGCGCCUUCAUCGGCGGCAAUAUCUCUCUCCUCCGCGGCCUCCUCUACUGGAUCGCCCAGCUCCUCGGGGCCACCGUCGCCUGCGGCCUCCUCAAGUUGGUCACCAACGGCCAGGUAACUUUCUCAUCUCCCACUUCCCACUCCACGUUCCGUUAAUACCGUUUUUUUAGGUAAAUAAAAAAGUGACUUAAGCUACGGGUUUUGAUACGGUGCUUCGCAGACUACCGCUGCUUUCUCCCUGUCCCCGGGAGUGGGAGUGUGGAACGCGUUCGUUUUCGAGAUCGUGAUGACGUUCGGACUGGUCUACACGGUCUACGCGACCGCGAUUGACCCGAAGAAAGGGAGCGUGGGGACAAUCGCGCCCAUCGCGAUUGGUUUCAUCGUUGGCGCCAACAUUUUGGCGGGUGGGGCUUUUGACGGGGCGUCCAUGAACCCGGCCGUUUCUUUCGGGCCGGCGUUGGUGAGCUGGAGCUGGGAGAACCACUGGGUCUACUGGGCCGGGCCUUUGAUCGGCGCCGGGAUCGCCGGGGUCAUCUACGAGUUCGUGUUCAUCGGCAACAGCGGCCACGAGCAACUGCCCUCCACUGACUACUAAUUGAUUAAGCCUUA
RNAcentral lists this long non-coding RNA (830 nucleotides) under Malus domestica (apple). RNAcentral describes it as "long non-coding RNA (MDOM_LNC011353)". Lineage: Eukaryota; Viridiplantae; Streptophyta; Magnoliopsida; Rosales; Rosaceae. The record is from RNAcentral.